UGAUGGGUACGACCCCUGCGAUGGCGUCGCAGAUUCCAAGUUCCAGCCUUUUAGGGUUUUUAGUCGAGCCGUGGGGGGGUGUUCUGCAGUUUUCGAGUGGCCGUUGCCUUGGUUCUCAAUGGAUAGUCCUUAAAACUCGAAGUAUGGUGCUGUUUGCUGCAAACUGGGGUCUUUUGUUCGCGAAAAAUGGAAGCAUUACUUCCACAAUCAACUGAAAUCUCGAAGCUUAACAGGACUGCAAUGUAUAGGAAGCAGCAUAGAAAGGAUAUCCAUGCAGAAGCUGUGAAAAAAGAGAUGCAGAACAACCGAAAGCCCAUAUUCUAGGUCAAUAGUUGGCUCUACUUUAGAGGUGAUUCAGAAGAGAACUGAAAAACCAAAAGUCGGUGAUGCUGCCAGGGAGGCUGUUCUUUGAUUAUUGAUGCUCGAAUUGCCGAUGACUGGAAGGUGGUGCGUUGGUGGCACGUCUACUUCAAAAUAUCUUAAUACUUCUAGAGCCACAAACAAUGCUCUUCGCCAGUGGACGAGUCACUUCUCCUUCAAAGCUUCUGGUCUCCUGUGGCACCACCACCUGGCGUGAUCUUGGGGACGAUUCAAGCUGAAGCUUUAAAGUAAUUUUCAAGCUAUAAACUCUCCGUUACGGUAGACUCCAACGCCCAUACCCUUCUUGUUUUAGGACGAAGCAAUCAUAAGAACCAAACGCAAAGGGAAGUAAAUAAAUAACUCCAUCUCCUUUGACAAAACCAGUAAUGUCGCAGGACUAGUUCCAUGGCCUGUUGUGUAAUUGCUGUAUGAUGACGUGCUGCACUUGUAAUUGGAUACAGUGCAAGGAUUACGAGUAGUACUAAAAGAGCCCGCCACUUUGAAUCUGGGCAAAAUUUGCAGGGAAAAUGGCUGGACCUGGUGUAUUAUAUGGGUAGAUGCCAUGUUUCACCCUAGGUGAUCUUUCAAUGACAUUUCAGGUUUUUGAAAAUAUUUCGUU
This is a non-coding RNA of Phoenix dactylifera (date palm), 979 nucleotides long. The record is from RefSeq and is a predicted model, not a curated record. Lineage: Eukaryota; Viridiplantae; Streptophyta; Magnoliopsida; Arecales; Arecaceae.